CCACCGCCCAAGCGCCGACGAGGGUCGAGUCGACACCCAGAAGAGACGCCCAGCGGACGAGCGCGUCGUGCUCUUGUGGUGUUGCCGUCGGCACCGGCACCGCGGCGGCAGCCUCGGCCAAGAGUGUGCCCGGGGUUCGGGAUCGUCAUACCAUGGCCCUCUCCAUGUGCAGAUGCUGGCCUGGUAGAGCAUGACGUUGACGCCUCCGCCGUCCCCAAAGAGAGCGAUGCCCUCGCCCAUUUCGCUGAUGGUCUGGACGCCGCAUUGUUCCAGCAGGCGCUGCACCGACGACACACCUCGCGCAUAGGCCAUCGGCACGCGAAAGCCAUAGUAGGCCUUGGCGAUCGGAUACACUCCCAUAUUGUGGCGUGUGCGCGUGUGUGUUUCCACUCUUUGUGGGGUCGCUGUUGGGCAGGUACCUGUCGAGUUGUGUCUGCAGCCGUAUGCCGGCGCUUUCUGGUGGCUCGCGCGUCUUUUGGACAGCACGGUCACGCAGCGCGUGUCGUUUUUUUUUCAAACAAAAAAGGAAUCCCUAUGCGUCAAUGCUAAAACUCUUUUUUUUGUCAUAAAUUGGAUAUUUG
This 581-nucleotide long non-coding RNA is filed under the name Pandoravirus celtis. Its description in RNAcentral is "hypothetical ncRNA". The record is from RNAcentral.